AACUCAGCUACAAAGUAAAGGUCUGAAAAAGUUACAGAAUGCAGCAACUUCCCGCUACAGCGCCCCAGAUGGUCUCUGCAGGUGCUUUUCCAAGAGAACCCUGGAAAGCACACAGAAGCGUCCUGUCCAGUGACCCCGUGGAAGCUUUGUGAAGGAGACAUGCAGGGCCACCCUGCCACUUCCAGCGGUUCCUGAAAGUAAGCUGGUGUGAGUAGAGACCCAGGCCUCAGAAGAAACCCAGACUCUGAGGCUAGAGUUGUGUGGGAGCUGCAGCCAGUACUACAGCAGAACCAACCUCACCUCCAGAUAAGAAGUGAGAGCACCUUCCGGUGAUGCCAGCCCAUCCCCAGAGUCACCACCGGCCUCCAAGUCUCUCUGUGGAGUUCCCAACCCAUGAGGCAUUGCUCUACUAUGCACCUGUCCAGUCUUCUUGAACCACAAAAGCUUUCAAAUAACAAAAUAGUUUGUAAUU
This is a long non-coding RNA of Mus musculus (house mouse), 472 nucleotides long. RefSeq annotates it as predicted gene, 39736. Lineage: Eukaryota; Metazoa; Chordata; Mammalia; Rodentia; Muridae. The transcript has 2 exons. The record is from RefSeq and is a predicted model, not a curated record.